GUUUGUUUGUUUAUUUAUUUAUUUUUAGGUGUAGAUGGACACAACACAAUGCCUUUAUUUAUUUAUUUUUUUAAUGUGGUGCUGAGGACCGAACCCAGGUCCCGCCCGUGCUAGGCAAGCGCUCUACCCCUGAGCCACAAUCCCAGCCCACUCAGAAAGUUUUUGAGCUGGGCAUGGUGGCAUACACCUAUAAUCCCCAAGGCUCAGGAGGCUGAAACAGAAGGAUCUUGAGUUCAAAUCCAGCUUCAGCAACAGUAAGGUGCUAAGCAACUAAGGGAGACCUUGAUUCUAAAUAGAAAAAAAAAAAAAAAAAAAGAAAGAAAGAAAAAGAAAAAAUAAAAAAAGAAAAGUUUUGGAUUUUGGAGCAUUUGAAAUUUUGGAUUUUCCCAUUAGGAACACUCAUCUCACACUCUUGACUAGUGUGCUCUUGAACUCUUAGGAAGAAAGAGCCUGUUAGCAUCACUUGCCAUAAAGAGACUGUUGGCAUCAUUCAGUGAGGUGAGAAAACUCAGGAAACAAGGAAGAAAAUCCCCAGAUCUGUAGCUAGGGAGCUCACAGUGCUUUUAGUUUCCAGAAUCUUGCAGAUCCUCCUUGCCUUUGUUUUCCCGCAGGGCCUUGUGGGACCAAUGUCACACAGUAGGUCAAGCUGAAGGAACUAGUAGAGUUGAAAUGUCUGCUGCAUGCAGGCCCAGGGCUGGCACUCUACGUUCUUUCUGUCACCUUGCCUGUCUGUCCAGUUCAUUUUUGCCCUCUCAGACUGAACCUGUUGGUGGCUGUUAGAUGUUUGAAUUCUAGGGGAAGAAGCCCCUGAUCUGGGGACACUGGCUUUGAGAGGACCAGGGAUUUUUUGGAGCCCGCAUCCUGCCUGGAACAGGAUGAGCGUGGGGAAGUACUCCCAGAACUCACAGGGAGUAUGAUCCGAAUGCUUCCUUCUUUCCCAGGGAGUUGGGUCAUCUACCCCAGAGCAGCGAGAUUCUUUAGACAACAAAGCACCUGUGGCUCUGACUGACUCACUGAAGCAGCUGCCCAGAGUGUGGGUGAUGGAUGAGGCAGGCGUCUGAGCUGCUGUGGAGAAGCUGGGAGUUGGGGGUAGGUGUUAUUCUCUUCCUUGAGCAGCUCCA
RNAcentral lists this long non-coding RNA (1121 nucleotides) under Marmota monax (woodchuck). The record is from RNAcentral. Lineage: Eukaryota; Metazoa; Chordata; Mammalia; Rodentia; Sciuridae.